GCCGCGAUAGUUUUAGAAGAUAAAAUGUCUCCCUCGUAAGGAGAAGUACUUGGUUAAAGUCCAAGUUGCGGCA
RNAcentral lists this transfer RNA (73 nucleotides) under Siphoviridae sp. ct96x5. RNAcentral describes it as "tRNA-Thr". It matches the Rfam family "tRNA". From Rfam's summary of the family: Transfer RNA (tRNA) molecules are approximately 80 nucleotides in length. Lineage: Duplodnaviria; Heunggongvirae; Uroviricota; Caudoviricetes. The record is from RNAcentral.